UACAGAGGAUGCAAGCGUUAUCCGGAAUGAUUGGGCGUAAAGCGUCUGUAGGUGGCUUUUUAAGUCCGCCGUCAAAUCCCAGGGCUCAACUCUGGACGGGCGGUGGAAACUACCAAGCUAGAGUACGGUAGGGGCAGAGGGAAUUCCCGGUGUAGAGGUGAAAUUCGUAGAUAUCGGGAGGAACACCAGUGGCGAAGGCGGCGAUCUGGGCAGAUACUGACGCUGAGGUGCGAAAGCGUGGGGAGCAAACAGG
RNAcentral lists this ribosomal RNA (253 nucleotides) under uncultured bacterium. RNAcentral's name for it is "partial 16S ribosomal RNA". It matches the Rfam family "Bacterial small subunit ribosomal RNA", at positions 524 to 776 of the family's 1533-position model. The record is from RNAcentral.